UACGGAGGAGGCAAGCGUUAUCCGGAAUUAUUGGGCGUAAAGCGUCCGCAGGUGGCGAUUCAAGUCUGCGGUCAAAGACUGGGGCUUAACCCUGGAAAGGCCGUGGAAACUGAAUAGCUAGAGUGCAGUAGGGGUAGAGGGAAUUCCCGGUGUAGCGGUGAAAUGCGUAGAUAUCUGGAGGAACACCGGUGGCGAAGGCGGCAUCCUGGACCGGUAUUGACGCUGAGGAGCGAAAGCCAGGGGAGCAAACGGG
RNAcentral lists this ribosomal RNA (253 nucleotides) under uncultured bacterium. RNAcentral's name for it is "partial 16S ribosomal RNA". It matches the Rfam family "Bacterial small subunit ribosomal RNA", at positions 524 to 776 of the family's 1533-position model. The record is from RNAcentral.